GACGUAGGGCGCGAGCGUUGUCCGGAUUUAUUGGGCGUAAAGAGCUCGUAGGCGGUGUGUCGCGUCGGCCGUGAAAACCUGGGGCUCAACUCUGGGCGUGCGGUCGAUACGGGCAUCACUUGAGUUCGGCAGGGGAGACUGGAAUUCCUGGUGUAGCGGUGAAAUGCGCAGAUAUCAGGAGGAACACCGGUGGCGAAGGCGGGUCUCUGGGCCGAUACUGACGCUGAGGAGCGAAAGCAUGGGUAGCGAACAGG
Molecule: ribosomal RNA, 254 nt
Filed under: uncultured bacterium
Lineage: Bacteria
Description: partial 16S ribosomal RNA
Rfam family: Bacterial small subunit ribosomal RNA
Source: RNAcentral